UGACAAUGUUUUGUUUCAUAAGGUUUGC
RNAcentral lists this small RNA (28 nucleotides) under Bombyx mori (domestic silkworm). RNAcentral describes it as "ovarian small RNA-8045". The record is from RNAcentral. Lineage: Eukaryota; Metazoa; Arthropoda; Insecta; Lepidoptera; Bombycidae.